This is a non-coding RNA of Triticum aestivum (bread wheat), 135 nucleotides long. The record is from Rfam. NCBI's taxonomy places the organism in Eukaryota, Viridiplantae, Streptophyta, Magnoliopsida, Poales, Poaceae.
GAAAUACUCCCUCCGUCCGGAAAUACUUGUCAUCAAAAUGGAUAAAAGGGGAUGUAUCUAGAUGUAUUUUAGUUCUAGAUACAUCCUUUUUUACCCACUUUGAUGACGAGUAUUUCCGGACGGAGGGAGUACUUU